Molecule: ribosomal RNA, 468 nt
Filed under: uncultured bacterium
Lineage: Bacteria
Description: partial 16S ribosomal RNA
Rfam family: Bacterial small subunit ribosomal RNA
Source: RNAcentral
GACGAACGCUGGCGGCGUGCUUAACACAUGCAAGUCGAACGGAAAGGCCCUGCUUUUGUGGGGUGCUCGAGUGGCGAACGCGUGAGUAACACGUGAGUAACCUGCCCUUGACUUUGGGAUAUCUUCAGGGAACUGCGGCUAAUACCCGAUAGGAGCUCCUGCUGCGCGGUGGGGGUUGGAAAGUUUCGGCGGUUGGGGAUGGACUCGCGGCUUACCAGCUUGUUGGUGGGGUAGUGGCUUACCAAGGCUUUGACGGGUAGCCGGCCUGGGAGGGUGACCGGCCACAUUGGUACUGAGAUACGGCCCAGACUCCUACGGGAGGCAGCAGUGGGGAAUAUUGCGCAAUGGGCGGAAGCCUGAUGCAGCAACGCCGCGUGCGUGAUGACGGCCUUCGGGUUGUAAACCGCUUUCGCCUGUGACGAAGCGUGAGUGACGGUAAUUGGUAAAGAAGCACCGGCUAACUACGUG